UGGGGAAUAUUGGACAAUGGGCGCAAGCCUGAUCCAGCCAUGCCGCGUGAGUGAUGAAGGCCUUAGGGUUGUAAAGCUCUUUUACUCGGGAAGAUAGUGACGGUACCGAGGGAAUAAGCCCCGGCUAACUUCGUGCCAGCAGCCGCGGUAAUACGAAGGGGGCUAGCGUUGUUCGGAUUUACUGGGCGUAAAGCGCACGUAGGCGGAUCUUUAAGUCAGGGGUGAAAUCCCGAGGCUCAACCUCGGAACUGCCUUUGAUACUGGUUAUCUUGAGUCCGGGAGAGGUGAGUGGAACUGCGAGUGUAGAGGUGAAAUUCGUAGAUAUUCGCAAGAACACCAGUGGCGAAGGCGGCUCACUGGCCCGGAACUGACGCUGAGGUGCGAAAGCGUGGGGAGCAAA
RNAcentral lists this ribosomal RNA (400 nucleotides) under uncultured bacterium. RNAcentral's name for it is "bacterial SSU rRNA". It matches the Rfam family "Bacterial small subunit ribosomal RNA", at positions 355 to 772 of the family's 1533-position model. The record is from RNAcentral.